This 465-nucleotide ribosomal RNA is filed under the name Vreelandella stevensii. RNAcentral describes it as "partial 16S ribosomal RNA". It matches the Rfam family "Bacterial small subunit ribosomal RNA", at positions 338 to 795 of the family's 1533-position model. Lineage: Bacteria; Pseudomonadati; Pseudomonadota; Gammaproteobacteria; Oceanospirillales; Halomonadaceae. The record is from RNAcentral.
CCUACGGGCGGCAGCAGUGGGGAAUAUUGGACAAUGGGGGGAACCCUGAUCCAGCCAUGCCGCGUGUGUGAAGAAGGCCCUCGGGUUGGAAAGCACUUUCAGUGAGGAAGAACGCCUGGUGGUUAAUACCCAUCAGGAAAGACAUCACUCACAGAAGAAGCACCGGCUAACUCCGUGCCAGCAGCCGCGGUAAUACGGAGGGUGCGAGCGUUAAUCGGAAUUACUGGGCGUAAAGCGCGCGUAGGUGGCUUGAUAAGCCGGUUGUGAAAGCCCCGGGCUCAACCUGGGAACGGCAUCCGGAACUGUCAAGCUAGAGUGCAGGAGAGGAAGGUAGAAUUCCCGGUGUAGCGGUGAAAUGCGUAGAGAUCGGGAGGAAUCCCAGUGGCGAAGGCGGCCUUCUGGACUGACACUGACACUGAGGUGCGAAAGCGUGGGUAGCAAACAGGAUUAGAUACCCCAGUAGUC